AAUUCUCAAAACCCAUUUCUUUUGGUCAUUUUUGACCAUGGAAAGGAUUUUGGACUUGGAGGCCUUUUGCUGGUUUCACCUUGAAGCGAGCUCCUCCCAAACGUAUUAGUGGGGUCCGCAUCGUCGGUCCUUGGCGUGAUAAGUCGUUUCUACGUCUUGGAUCUUUGGCGCUGUACACCUGCUUCUAACCGUCUCAUUGACAACGAUGGUGUUCCGGUCACCGCCGAUUUAUCGGUGGGAGGCUUGACCCACAAAACAAA
This 260-nucleotide unclassified non-coding RNA is filed under the name uncultured Russula. RNAcentral's name for it is "sequence contains ITS2". Lineage: Eukaryota; Fungi; Basidiomycota; Agaricomycetes; Russulales; Russulaceae. The record is from RNAcentral.